AGGAUGAAGAGCCCUAGAGUGGCAAUAAAUUAAAUCUCCUGUGAGUCAGGAGAUUAGAGUUCUAAUUCUUCUUUGGUUCAAGCCAUCUGUGAGACCUUGGAGCCGAAGCUCACUCCACAAAGUGCCACUUGGAUAGAAGCAGUUGUUAUCUAUGUGGAAGCCAUCUCGGUCUGCACGUCCUUGGGAGAUACCCUGAAGCCCAGGACGAAGGAGUUUGCAGGAUGGGAAGACUGCCUGGGCCCGAGGAAGACGGAUCUCUUCAAAGUACUAUGAGAACUGGGUCUGAGGCAAGUGUAGCCUGAUCGCUCAGACUGAGGUCAGGGCCUCCACUCCUGGGGACUCAGAUCUCAGGCUCAUGAAACAUUUCCCCUGGACGCACAGCUGUGAUCUCCAACAUGUUGCAAAGUGUGGCUGCUUGUUUGUUUCAUUUGAACAAAUGGAGAAUACAUUGCCUUUGGACUCAGAUCAAGAAAACUCCAAGCUUUUCUCAGAGCAAAUGCAAAUAAGAUUUUGAGUGAAGUCUUCAGCUCUGAGGAAUGCUGUGUUCCCUUUCACCAAAAUACAUGCUUCCCUGGCCCCAGGCCUGGGGGGCUGUAGCCAGACACUGGCAGUGGAAACCCAGGAAGAUAGGAGCCUCUGGAAAUCUGCCAGAAAGCCAGUCAUGCAGCUCUUCUCCCCCGCCAGGCUGUUAUGCUAAACUCACACAUGCCUGAGGUGAAACAUUCUUUCCCAACACAAACACAGAACCUUCUGAAGACUCUUGAUUCUUCUUUAUCAGUCCCUUCUCUACUUUUCAUAGUGACUCUAAAUGGUAUUACUUUAGGAGAAAAAAAUGGACUCCCUUUUCUCAGGACAACAAACUACACAGAAUAUGCAUUUGUGGUCACCAGGAUGGCAAGGCAUGAGUUUUGAGUCUCACUUGAAAGCGAGGAGGGAAAGUAUGAGUCCAGCAAAAACCUUAGAACAACUCUUUAAGUUGAGUUUGGCCCUUCCUCCAGCUCCAAACUCUUCUGGCCAAGUGUUGUCAGUGGGCCCUCCAAGCUCCUUUUUGAGCUCCUGGGCACCUGCAAGAAGGGGGCUGCUGGCUAAAAAGGCAGCGAUUGGCCUUUGGAGAAGCUCUUCUGGGUUAUCUGGUCUACACUUGCCACUCUUGCUACCUUCCAACCCAUUCCUCGCUGUACACUAAAGGGGUCCUUGAAAAUUCGAAUCUGCUCUGUUACUCGCAAACUCCCACAAGGUCUACAGUGUGGUCUGGCCUGGUCUGGCCCCUGUGCAUGGCCCCAGUUUCAAUGCUGUGCCCUGCCCCAGCUACACAGGCUUUAUUCAGUUCCUUCCUUCUGCCAUGCUCGCUCCCAUCAUAGGUCUUUGCUUGUGUUCUGCUAGCUUCCUCUAACUUCACAUCUGAUUCACUCCUACAGCUCAUUCGGGUUGCAGCUCAAUUGUUACCUCAUCAGGGAAGCCUUCACCAACUCUAUGAACCAGCUACUUUCCCUGUUUUCUAGUCUCUGUUGCAUAGCCCUCAUUGACCUUUGUUCUACCAUUAGACCAUAAGUGCCAUACGAGUAGGAAUGGGUGUUUUAGUUUUUCUUUUUAAUAUAUAUCCAGUGCUUAGAAUAAUAUCAA
Molecule: long non-coding RNA, 1623 nt
Organism: Zalophus californianus (California sea lion)
Lineage: Eukaryota; Metazoa; Chordata; Mammalia; Carnivora; Otariidae
Exons: 4
Source: RefSeq, a predicted model, not a curated record